AUUGAACGCUGGCGGCAUGCUUUACACAUGCAAGUCGAACGGCAGCACGGGCUUCGGCCUGGUGGCGAGUGGCGAACGGGUGAGUAAUAUAUCGGAACGUACCCAGAAGUGGGGGAUAACGUAGCGAAAGUUACGCUAAUACCGCAUACGAUCUAUGGAUGAAAGCAGGGGACCGCAAGGCCUUGUGCUCCUGGAGCGGCCGAUAUCUGAUUAGCUAGUUGGUGAGGUAAAGGCUCACCAAGGCGACGAUCAGUAGCUGGUCUGAGAGGACGACCAGCCACACUGGAACUGAGACACGGUCCAGACUCCUACGGGGAGCAGCAGUGGGGAAUUUUGGACAAGGGGGGCAAGCCUGAUCCAGCAAUGCCGCGUGAGUGAAGAAGGCCUUCUGGUUGGAAAGCUCUUAUGUCAGGGAAGAAGCGGUAGAGGCUAAUAUCCUAUGCUAAUGACGGUACCUGAAGAAUAAGCACCGGCUAACUACGUG
This 484-nucleotide ribosomal RNA is filed under the name uncultured bacterium. RNAcentral's name for it is "partial 16S ribosomal RNA". It matches the Rfam family "Bacterial small subunit ribosomal RNA", at positions 30 to 507 of the family's 1533-position model. The record is from RNAcentral.